AUUGAACGCUGGCGGCAGGCCUAACACAUGCAAGUCGAACGGUAACAUUUCUAGCUUGCUAGAAGAUGACGAGUGGCGGACGGGUGAGUAAUACUUAGGGAUCUGCCUUCUGGAGGGGGAUAACCAUUGGAAACGAUGGCUAAUACCGCAUAAUGUCUACGGACCAAAGGGGGCUUCGGCUCGCACCAGAAGAGGAACCUAAGCGAGAUUAGCUUGUUGGUGAGGUAAAGGCUCACCAAGGCGACGAUCUCUAGCUGUUCUGAGAGGAAGAUCAGCCACACUGGGACUGAGACACGGCCCAG
This 302-nucleotide ribosomal RNA is filed under the name uncultured Glaciecola sp. RNAcentral's name for it is "bacterial SSU rRNA". It matches the Rfam family "Bacterial small subunit ribosomal RNA", at positions 30 to 334 of the family's 1533-position model. The record is from RNAcentral. Lineage: Bacteria; Pseudomonadati; Pseudomonadota; Gammaproteobacteria; Alteromonadales; Alteromonadaceae.